This is a long non-coding RNA of Prosopis cineraria, 925 nucleotides long. RefSeq lists it as uncharacterized. The record is from RefSeq and is a predicted model, not a curated record. The transcript is spliced from 4 exons. NCBI's taxonomy places the organism in Eukaryota, Viridiplantae, Streptophyta, Magnoliopsida, Fabales, Fabaceae.
UUUAUUAAUUAUAAAAAUAUUAAGUUUUAGUAAUCAUUCUUAUAUUAAUAAUUUUCUUUAUUAAUUUUUAGAAUUGAGGGAAUUUAGAAAUAUUAAACUGGUUUUUUUCUCAAAAAUAUGGCUUACUUAUUAAAUAUGAUUGAUAAUACCUAUAAUAGUUUCUUCUUCGGUAGAUGGGUUGAUUUGCACAUUUGACAUUGCUGGAGAUAUCGAUGAUGAAGAUCAUCUGGAAUCAGUUAUUAAUGUGGGAACUUCAAUCUCAAAGGCGGGUUUUUUUGGUGAAAGUUGCCUGAAGCUUUGGUGUUUAACGCAUAUUGAAACCUUGAGCAUCUGGGAUCGGAAAGAUGCUAGAAAUGAAGUAAACUUCACAGAUGCUCUUCAAAGGUUGGAGCUUGGAUAAUGUUGACUAUUUUGUUGACUGUCACUACUCUAGAGAAGCUCAACAACAAUGGGCGAUUGGUGGCACUAAUACUGGUGUUUUGGGCAACUUCCAUGUGAAUUAUAUAUAAUGGGGUGGCCAUACAAGUGUUGUAAGGAGUGUGUAGCCCACGUCAAGAAUUCACGGUGGACCUGGUUGUGACCAAGACUUUUUUGGAUGGACAAGCGGGGAAUACGACCGCCUUUGUUGCUGGCUGUCUGAUGAUUCACCUCAGGUGAAUCGAUUAUGGAUUUCGAGCAUGUUGAUAAUGAAGUCUGAAAGAACUCGCGAGACAAAUCGUCGUCAGCCUUACUAGCAAGGUUUCUAUUGUUGUCUUUUGAACAAAAUAGCGUUGGUUGUCAGGCAUGUAACUGAGUGAUUUCGAAACAUUGGGGCUAGGCAUUUGGGUAUCUUGUGCGUGCCCAUUUUUAAAGGCUGAUUGAUUGGCAACUUGUAUCAUAUGGGUAGGGAGUAUCAUUGUUUUAAUAAAUUUAUUGAUUUGUUUUU